GCUCGAAUGGCCAAGCGGUUAAGGCGUGGGAUUGCAGAUCCUAAGGUCCCUGGUUCGAGUCCGGGUUCGAGCU
This is a non-coding RNA of Clonostachys solani, 73 nucleotides long. The record is from the annotation of a GenBank genome assembly. NCBI's taxonomy places the organism in Eukaryota, Fungi, Ascomycota, Sordariomycetes, Hypocreales, Bionectriaceae.